UCCUUGGUGGUCCAGUGGUUAAGACUCCGGCUUCCACUGCAGGGGGCUCAGGUUCAAUCCCUGGUCAGGGAA
This 72-nucleotide transfer RNA is filed under the name Bos taurus (domestic cattle). It matches the Rfam family "tRNA". Rfam says of the family: Transfer RNA (tRNA) molecules are approximately 80 nucleotides in length. Their secondary structure includes four short double-helical elements and three loops (D, anti-codon, and T loops). Lineage: Eukaryota; Metazoa; Chordata; Mammalia; Artiodactyla; Bovidae. The record is from Rfam by way of RNAcentral. RNAcentral also lists the same sequence under 3 other names.